CCUACGGGAGGCAGCAGUGGGGAAUAUUGCACAAUGGGCGAAAGCCUGAUGCAGCGACGCCGCGUGAGGGAUGACGGCCUUCGGGUUGUAAACCUCUUUCAGCAGGGAAGAAGCGAAAGUGACGGUACCUGCAGAAGAAGCGCCGGCUAACUACGUGCCAGCAGCCGCGGUAAUACGUAGGGCGCAAGCGUUGUCCGGAAUUAUUGGGCGUAAAGAGCUCGUAGGCGGCUUGUCGCGUCGGUUGUGAAAGCCCGGGGCUUAACCCCGGGUCUGCAGUCGAUACGGGCAGGCUAGAGUGUGGUAGGGGAGAUCGGAAUUCCUGGUGUAGCGGUGAAAUGCGCAGAUAUCAGGAGGAACACCGGUGGCGAAGGCGGAUCUCUGGGCCAUUACUGACGCUGAGGAGCGAAAGCGUGGGGAGCGAACAGGAUUAGAUACCCUGGUAGUCCACGCCGUAAACGGUGGGAACUAGGUGUUGGCGACAUUCCACGUCGUCGGUGCCGCAGCUAACGCAUUAAGUUCCCCGCCUGGGGAGUACGGCCGCAAGCUAAAACUCAAAGGAAUUGACGG
This 567-nucleotide ribosomal RNA is filed under the name uncultured bacterium. RNAcentral describes it as "bacterial SSU rRNA". It matches the Rfam family "Bacterial small subunit ribosomal RNA", at positions 338 to 916 of the family's 1533-position model. The record is from RNAcentral.